RNAcentral lists this ribosomal RNA (454 nucleotides) under uncultured bacterium. Its description in RNAcentral is "bacterial SSU rRNA". It matches the Rfam family "Bacterial small subunit ribosomal RNA", at positions 340 to 786 of the family's 1533-position model. The record is from RNAcentral.
UACGGGAGGCAGCAGUGGGGAAUAUUGCACAAUGGGCGCAAGCCUGAUGCAGCCAUGCCGCGUGUAUGAAAAAGGCCUUCGGGUUGUAAAUACUUUCAGUCGUGAGGAAGGUGUUAAGGUUAAUAACCUUAGCAAUUGACGUUAGCGACAGAAGAAGCACCGGCUAACUCCGUGCCAGCAGCCGCGGUAAUACGGAGGGUGCGAGCGUUAAUCGGAAUUACUGGGCGUAAAGGGCACGCAGGCGGUUAAUUAAGUUGGAUGUGAAAUCCCCGGGCUUAACCUGGGAAUGGCAUUCAAGACUGGUUAGCUAGAGUCUUGUAGAGGGGGUAGAAUUCCAUGUGUAGCGGUGAAAUGCGUAGAGAUGUGGAGGAAUACCGGUGGCGAAGGCGGCCCCGUGGACAAAGACUGACGCUCAUGUGCGAAAGCGUGGGGAGCAAACGAGGGAUUAGAUACC